RNAcentral lists this ribosomal RNA (207 nucleotides) under uncultured bacterium. Its description in RNAcentral is "partial 16S ribosomal RNA". It matches the Rfam family "Bacterial small subunit ribosomal RNA", at positions 568 to 774 of the family's 1533-position model. The record is from RNAcentral.
CACGUAGGCGGAUUGCUAAGUCAGGGGUGAAAUCCCGGAGCUCAACUCCAGAACUGCCUUUGGUACUGGCGAUCUUGAGUCCGGGAGAGGUGAGUGGAACUGCGAGUGUAGAGGUGAAAUUCGUAGAUAUUCGCAAGAACACCAGUGGCGAAGGCGGCUCACUGGCCCGGUACUGACGCUGAGGUGCGAAAGCGUGGGGAGCAAACA